GAGUGGCAAGAUGUACAGGGAGAAGAAAGUGGGGCCAAGGAUUGAGCCUUGUGGAACACCACAAGCAACAGAAGCACUCGAAGAGGACAGGUCAUCAAACAUUACAGAAAAACAUUGAUCAGAAAGAUAUGAUGUGAACCACUUCAGAACAGAGGCCUUGUCUUAGCCGCC
Long non-coding RNA from Thalassophryne amazonica, 171 nucleotides. RefSeq lists it as uncharacterized. The record is from RefSeq and is a predicted model, not a curated record. Lineage: Eukaryota; Metazoa; Chordata; Actinopteri; Batrachoidiformes; Batrachoididae. The transcript is spliced from 3 exons.